This 284-nucleotide small RNA is filed under the name Thiocapsa marina 5811. Its description in RNAcentral is "5' ureB small RNA". It matches the Rfam family "5' ureB small RNA". The record is from Rfam by way of RNAcentral. Lineage: Bacteria; Pseudomonadati; Pseudomonadota; Gammaproteobacteria; Chromatiales; Chromatiaceae.
CCUCUUCGAUCUGCUGGGGGCAGAUGAAGUGGAUGUGGGCGUCGAUGCCGCCUGCGGUCACGAUCUGACCUUCGCCUGCAAUCACCUCGGUCCCCGGUCCCACCAGGAUGUCCACGCCGACUUGCGUGUCCGGAUUGCCGGCCUUGCCGAUCCCGACGAUGCGGCCCUUCUUGAUGCCGAUGUCGGCCUUGACGAUACCCCAAUGAUCUAGGAUCAAGGCAUUGGUGAUGACGAGAUCCACCACCUCGUCGGCUUGCCGUUGGCACUGUCCCAUGCCGUCGCGG